RNAcentral lists this unclassified non-coding RNA (294 nucleotides) under Hevea brasiliensis (rubber tree). The record is from RNAcentral. Lineage: Eukaryota; Viridiplantae; Streptophyta; Magnoliopsida; Malpighiales; Euphorbiaceae.
CGGUCUACUAGGCUCUCUGUCCAAAUCUUCAGUACUUUAUCCUCAAGUAAUUUGCUGGAAUUUGUGGCAAGGGUGCGUCUCCCUCCCAGUAAGAAGCGUCGACGAGCUACUUCAAUGAUCCGAGAAGGAUAAGCAGCCGCGAUGUCAAAGGGCUAGCUAUGUUUUCCUUUCACCUAUGCUACAGCGAUAUUGAGCGGUGGGGAUUCUGUACAGAGUUGAGAUGGGAAACUGACUCAGUGAGGAUGGCAAAAGAGGGACGAGGGGAAGAGAAUGAGGUGAGGGAAGGGAUUGUCG